GAUGAACGCUGGCGGCGUGCCUAAUACAUGCAAGUCGAGCGAACGGACGAGAAGCUUGCUUCUCUGAUGUUAGCGGCGGACGGGUGAGUAACACGUGGAUAACCUACCUAUAAGACUGGGAUAACUUCGGGAAACCGGAGCUAAUACCGGAUAAUAUUUUGAACCGCAUGGUUCAAAAGUGAAAGACGGUCUUGCUGUCACUUAUAGAUGGAUCCGCGCUGCAUUAGCUAGUUGGUAAGGUAACGGCUUACCAAGGCAACGAUGCAUAGCCGACCUGGGAGGGGGAUCGGCCGCACGGGAACGGAGCCACGGACCAGACUCCUACGGGAGGCAGCAGUAGGGAAUGUGCCGCAAUGGGCGAAAGCCUGACGGAGCAACGCCGCGUGAGAGAUGAAGGUCUUCGGAGCGUAAAACUCUGUUAUUAGGGAAGAACAUAUGUGUAAGUAACUGUGCACAGCUUGACGGUACCUAAUCAGAAAGCCACGGCUAACUACGUG
RNAcentral lists this ribosomal RNA (497 nucleotides) under uncultured bacterium. RNAcentral describes it as "partial 16S ribosomal RNA". It matches the Rfam family "Bacterial small subunit ribosomal RNA", at positions 28 to 507 of the family's 1533-position model. The record is from RNAcentral.